CCUACGGGUGGCAGCAGUGGGGAAUAUUGGGCAAUGGGCGCAAGCCUGACCCAGCAACGCCGCGUGAAGGAUGAAGGCUCUCGGGUUGUAAACUUCUUUCAUCAGGGACGAAGCAAGUGACGGUACCUGAUGAAUAAGCCACGGCUAACUACUUGCCAGUAGCCGCGGUAAUACGUAGGUGGCAAGCGUUAUCCGGAUUUACUGGGUGUAUAGGGCGUGUAGGCGGGAAAGCAAGUCAGAUGUGAAAACCAUGGGCUCAACCGGGGGCCUGCAUUUGAAACUGUAUAUCUUGAGUACUGGGGAGGCAGACGGAAUUCCUGGUGUAGCGGUGAAAUGCGUAGAUAUUAUGAGGAACACCAGUGGCGAAGGCGGUCUGCUGGACAGCAACUGACGCUGAGGCGCGAAAGCGUGGGGAGCAAACAGGAUUAGAUACCCUAGUAGUC
Molecule: ribosomal RNA, 443 nt
Filed under: uncultured bacterium
Lineage: Bacteria
Description: partial 16S ribosomal RNA
Rfam family: Bacterial small subunit ribosomal RNA
Source: RNAcentral